This is a non-coding RNA of Clostridium homopropionicum DSM 5847, 92 nucleotides long. Lineage: Bacteria; Bacillati; Bacillota; Clostridia; Eubacteriales; Clostridiaceae. The record is from Rfam.
UGGGUAGUAUCCACAGGGAGCUGCACCGGUUUGUUAUAUUCAAAUAUAAUUUUAUUUUAAUCUGCUCAUAUCACAUGGAAUGAGACUGCUAU